RNAcentral lists this ribosomal RNA (466 nucleotides) under uncultured bacterium. RNAcentral's name for it is "bacterial SSU rRNA". It matches the Rfam family "Bacterial small subunit ribosomal RNA", at positions 329 to 794 of the family's 1533-position model. The record is from RNAcentral.
GUCCAGACUCCUACGGGAGGCAGCAGUGGGGAAUAUUGCACAAUGGGGGAAACCCUGAUGCAGCGACGCCGCGUGAGUGAAGAAGUAUUUCGGUAUGUAAAGCUCUAUCAGCAGGGAAGAAAUAGCGACCUUUGGGUCGCCAGACGGUACCUGAUUAAGAAGCCCCGGCUAACUACGUGCCAGCAGCCGCGGUAAUACGUAGGGGGCAAGCGUUAUCCGGAUUUACUGGGUGUAAAGGGCGUGUAGCCGGGUUGACAAGUCAGAUGUGAAAUCCUGCGGCUUAACCGCAGAACUGCAUUUGAAACUGUUGAUCUUGAGUACUGGAGAGGCAGACGGAAUUCCUAGUGUAGCGGUGAAAUGCGUAGAUAUUAGGAGGAACACCAGUGGCGAAGGCGGACUGCUGGACAGCAACUGACGGUGAGGCGCGAAAGCGUGGGGAGCAAACGGGAUUAGAUACCCGAGUAUA